RNAcentral lists this ribosomal RNA (275 nucleotides) under uncultured bacterium. RNAcentral's name for it is "partial 16S ribosomal RNA". It matches the Rfam family "Bacterial small subunit ribosomal RNA", at positions 79 to 353 of the family's 1533-position model. The record is from RNAcentral.
CUAAGUUUGAUGGCGACCGGCGCACGGGUGAGUAACACGUAUCCAACCUGCCGAUGACUCGGGGAUAGCCUUUCGAAAGAAAGAUUAAUACCCGAUAGCAUAAUGAUUCCGCAUGGUUUCAUUAUUAAAGGAUUCCGGUAAAGGAUGGGGAUGCGUUCCAUUAGGUUGUUGGUGAGGUAACGGCUCACCAAGCCUUCGAUGGAUAGGGGUUCUGAGAGGAAGGUCCCCCACAUUGGAACUGAGACACGGUCCAAACUCCUACGGGAGGCAGCAUG